GCUAUCAGAUGAGCCUAGGUCGGAUUAGCUAGUUGGUGAGGUAAUGGCUCACCAAGGCGACGAUCCGUAACUGGUCUGAGAGGAUGAUCAGCCACACUGGAACUGAGACACGGUCCAGACUCCUACGGGAGGCAGCAGUGGGGAAUAUUGGACAAUGGGCGAAAGCCUGAUCCAGCCAUGCCGCGUGUGUGAAGAAGGUCUUCGGAUUGUAAAGCACUUUAAGUUGGGAGAGAAGGGCAGUUACCUAAUACGUGA
Molecule: ribosomal RNA, 255 nt
Filed under: uncultured bacterium
Lineage: Bacteria
Description: partial 16S ribosomal RNA
Rfam family: Bacterial small subunit ribosomal RNA
Source: RNAcentral